RNAcentral lists this ribosomal RNA (63 nucleotides) under uncultured bacterium. RNAcentral describes it as "partial 16S ribosomal RNA". The record is from RNAcentral.
CCACAAGAGUUAGUCACCCACCAGAAGGGGGCGACUACCACGGUGAGAUUCAUGACUGGGGUG